This 1724-nucleotide ribosomal RNA is filed under the name Proteus mirabilis. Its description in RNAcentral is "partial 23S ribosomal RNA". It matches the Rfam family "Bacterial large subunit ribosomal RNA", at positions 1223 to 2925 of the family's 2925-position model. The record is from RNAcentral. Lineage: Bacteria; Pseudomonadati; Pseudomonadota; Gammaproteobacteria; Enterobacterales; Morganellaceae.
GUUGGGUAGGGGAGCGUUCUGUAAGCCUGCGAAGGUGUACUGUGAGGUAUGCUGGAGGUAUCAGAAGUGCGAAUGCUGACAUAAGUAACGAUAAUGCGGGUGAAAAACCCGCACGCCGGAAGACCAAGGGUUCCUGUCCAACGUUAAUCGGGGCAGGGUGAGUCGACCCCUAAGGCGAGGCUGAAAAGCGUAGUCGAUGGGAAACGGGUUAAUAUUCCCGUACUGGUGGUAACUGCGAUGGGGGAACGGAGAAGGCUAGGUUGUCCGGGCGACGGUCGUCCCGGUUCAAGCAGGUAGGCAGAGUGAUUAGGCAAAUCCGGUCACUUAAUGCUGAGAUGUGAUGACGAACCACUAAGGUGGUGAAGCAAUUGAUGCCCCGCUUCCAGGAAAAGCCUCUAAGCUUCAGGUUACCAACAAUCGUACCCCAAACCGACACAGGUGGUCAGGUAGAGAAUACUCAGGCGCUUGAGAGAACUCGGGUGAAGGAACUAGGCAAAAUGGUGCCGUAACUUCGGGAGAAGGCACGCUGGCGGUAGGUAAAGUCCCUUGCGGACGGCGCUGAAGCCAGUCGAAGAUACCAGCUGGCUGCAACUGUUUAUUAAAAACACAGCACUGUGCAAACACGAAAGUGGACGUAUACGGUGUGACGCCUGCCCGGUGCUGGAAGGUUAAUUGAUGGGGUCAGCCGUAAGGCGAAGCUCCUGAUCGAAGCCCCAGUAAACGGCGGCCGUAACUAUAACGGUCCUAAGGUAGCGAAAUUCCUUGUCGGGUAAGUUCCGACCUGCACGAAUGGCGUAAUGAUGGCCAGGCUGUCUCCACCCGAGACUCAGUGAAAUUGAACUCGCUGUGAAGAUGCAGUGUACCCGCGGCAAGACGGAAAGACCCCGUGAACCUUUACUAUAGCUUGACACUGAACAUUGAGCCUUGAUGUGUAGGAUAGGUGGGAGGCUUUGAAGUGUGGACGCCAGUCUGCAUGGAGCCAACCUUGAAAUACCACCCUUUAACGUUUGAUGUUCUAACCUAGGCCCAUAAACUGGGUCGGGGACCGUGUCUGGUGGGUAGUUUGACUGGGGCGGUCUCCUCCUAAAGAGUAACGGAGGAGCACGAAGGUUGGCUAAGCAUGGUCGGACAUCAUGCGGUUAGUGCAAAGGCAUAAGCCAGCUUGACUGCGAGAGUGACGGCUCGAGCAGGUACGAAAGUAGGUCUUAGUGAUCCGGUGGUUCUGAAUGGAAGGGCCAUCGCUCAACGGAUAAAAGGUACUCCGGGGAUAACAGGCUGAUACCGCCCAAGAGUUCAUAUCGACGGCGGUGUUUGGCACCUCGAUGUCGGCUCAUCACAUCCUGGGGCUGAAGUAGGUCCCAAGGGUAUGGCUGUUCGCCAUUUAAAGUGGUACGCGAGCUGGGUUUAGAACGUCGUGAGACAGUUCGGUCCCUAUCUGCCGUGGGCGUUGGAAGAUUGAGAGGGGUUGCUCCUAGUACGAGAGGACCGGAGUGAACGCACCACUGGUGUUCGGGUUGUCAUGCCAAUGGCAUUGCCCGGUAGCUAAGUGCGGAAGAGAUAACCGCUGAAAGCAUCUAAGCGGGAAACUUGCCUCGAGAUGAGUCUUCCCUGUCGCUUUAAGUGACCUAAAGGAACGUUUAAGACUAAGACGUUGAUAGGCUGGGUGUGUAAGCGUAGCGAUACGUUGAGCUAACCAGUACUAAUGAACCGUGAGGCUUAACCUG